ACCCCUGUAGCGUAAUUGGUAACGCGUUGGACAUCUCAUCCAAAGGUCGUGGGUUCGAAUCCCACCUGGGAUG
This is a non-coding RNA of Trichonephila inaurata madagascariensis, 73 nucleotides long. NCBI's taxonomy places the organism in Eukaryota, Metazoa, Arthropoda, Arachnida, Araneae, Nephilidae. The record is from the annotation of a GenBank genome assembly.